Molecule: ribosomal RNA, 42 nt
Filed under: Beauveria bassiana
Lineage: Eukaryota; Fungi; Ascomycota; Sordariomycetes; Hypocreales; Cordycipitaceae
Also listed under: 1 other name
Description: partial 18S ribosomal RNA
Source: RNAcentral
GUCGUAACAAGGUCUCCGUUGGUGAACCAGCGGAGGGAUCAU